CAACAAAAAGAAGAAGAAAGGAGAAGGAGAAGGAGGAGGAGGAUGAGAAGAAGAAGAAGAAGAAGAAGAAGAAGAAGAAGAAGAAGAAGAAGAAGAAGAAGAAGAAGAAGAAGAAGAAGAAGAAAGACUAAACUCUGAGGAAACAAACCACUAUUCUUCAGGUCUGGGUGUCUUUGAGGAGAGGCAGAGACCAAUUCAGGCCACAUAUCCUGCCUUUGGAACGAAUGCCUGAGAAGAUGCCAGGAGGUUCUGGUCAGCUCUGAGGGCCCCAGUAAACAACCAGGAUCCUAACCAACCAGAAGAAGGCUCAGGGGUGACUCACUCGGCUUUGGGUCCAGUUGCCUGGAUGGAGACAGCUUCAAAGGAAACCUAGAGUUUACUCAAGUGCAGCUGUGAAUCUGUGGCAGGGAGGGGAAGUAGGGAGGUGGGAAGGUGGAGGAACCUAGGAAAGAUUUGGGAAGCAGGGAAAGAGAGCUGGUGGAAGGUUUAGUGAGAUGAACAGAUGGGUUUGGACCUUAUUCAUAAGGGGGGGUGGGUGUGAAUCCUUGUGUGUGCAUGCACACACAUAAGCACGUGUGCAUUCAUGUGGGUAUGGAUGUCAGGCAUCAACAUGGGCUUUUUAUUAUUCUCACUGUGUUGGAACUCACCAGUUCAGUUGGAUUGGCUGGCCAGUUAGCCCCAGGGAUCCCUGCCUGCCCCUGGUUUAUAAGGAGGCAUCACCAGGUCCUUGUGCUUGGAAGGUGAAGGGUUUGCUGACCGAACCAUUUCCUUGGUUUUCGCUUCUGCAUUUCCGUCCACACUCAAUGGUCAAACUGUUCUGAUAAUCCCUUGGGUCUCCUCACAGAAAAUGUGUUCUUAGAUGGUCAGUGCCUGCGCUUCUCAAAGCCACCCAAACAUCCCACACCAGAAGGGAGCCAGCACGGGAAGCUGGCCAUCCCAGGUCUCAUUUCCUCCCAGCAGAUACUUAUAUGUGAGGGAUUUCAGUUUUUCUUAAGGCAAAGUGAAUGCAGGGAGUUUGACUAAGGGGUGACGAAAACCCCAAACUAACAAAACCAGUCACUUAGGAUUUAGAGCUGUUCAGAGCCAGGGCCUUGUUCUAUCUCAGGAAGACAAGAGAACAUCCCCAACCCGGGAGCUUUACAAUAGGUAAGAAUACUGAAAGGAACAGAAUGCUGUCUGUGGCUUAAGUUACAGGAGGGAAAACAUGCUCAGAGCUUGGAGUUUAGAAAAAUAACAUUAAAGCAGGGACUGUUCAGAGAGGGCAGAAUGAGAGGGAGAACAUGGAAUUUCCAGCCCCGGAGCCAUCCUGAGGGUGUGGGGCCUUCUUCAUCAUAGGUUGUUUAGAGUAAUGAACCUGAUCCCACCUCUGUGCCUGGGAAUGGACUUGCUGACCCAGACGAAGAGCUUUCCAGUCCAAACAAUUCCCUAAUUAUUGACCCAGGUGGUCAGGGGUUGUCUCAGAGGAAGAGGACUCCAUUCUGAACAGGCUUAUAAACAAUCUGUUGCCAACAGUGCUUUGUCACUGACUGGAUCAUUUUCAAGCCCUAGUGUUUCAGCAAAGUCUCCAGUAGGGUGGUUCCCCUCAGCAGUGACAUCUUGGAAGGUCCUCAGAGCUCAGUUCUUUUCAGUCAAAUGGAGUUCCCAUUUUCUUUGGUCUGGCUUAGAAAGGUACCAGGGGUCAGCCGAACAAUUCUGUGGCUCCCAGGAGGAAGGGAAGCAGCAGGGAUCUUCAUACAGAUGCAGCCUCUCUAGCUGGUGGCUGAAGCUGUCUUCCCAGGGUGUGGGUAUUGAGUAGCCCUCUGGGUUGUUCCUAGCCACUAAUGUGUAAUUGCUCUGAUCUCCUCUUUCCCGUUUGUUUAUUUGCCCUGUUUUCUCAUCAUGGUGGCCUGAUAUGAGACUCUUCUAUUCUCAACAUUCUUCAAAAUUCCCUGCUAUCACUUCCAUCUUCCAGGCCUAGUGAUCGUCUUGAAAGGAUUUUUUAGGCUGAGGAGAUGGCUCAAGAGGCUGUUGCACAUGCAUGGCUGAGCUUGAUCUCCUAGAACUCAUCUUAAAAAGCCAGUUGUGAUGGGGCAUGCUUACAAUCCCAGUGAAGUGGAGGCAGCAAGAUGUAGAUGCUUGGGCUUCUCCCCAGCCAGCCUAGCUUCCUGGGAGAGGUCCAGGCCAAUGAGAGACCUUUCUUAAUAAAGGGGGUGGGGGCGGAUGGGUGGGUGGAUAGAACCUGAAAAGGGACACUAGAGACUGGCUUCUGGCCUUUCCAUACAUGUGAUGUGCACGCCUCACACAAAGGAUUUUUAGUUUGAAAAAUUAAUUUAAUAUUUCACAUCUUUAGUCAAUAAAUACUUUGUACCAUGAUAUGAUAAUAUGCAUUAUGUAUAUAAUCCUGUUUACUCAGGCUUUAUCAGAGUGAAGGGAUAAAGGACUUCCCACUAAGGCGUCAACCAUGCAUUCCUGGUUGUUGGCCCAUUUGAAUCAUAUAGAUGUUCUGUGUGAAUAUCAUCUGUCCCCUCCCCAAAGUCACAUUGGAAUUUAACCCUCAUUAGGAGGUAUGGUGAGGGUGGAGCUCCAGAGUUGACUACUGGUGGCUACAUAAAUGGAACCAAGACCAGGAGAGACAGACACUGUCAGUCUCAUCUUUCCUCAGAUGAAGUCACAUGCUUCUUUGAGACUUUGCCAGCAAGAACUCUAUUACCAGGUGUAGCUAGUGACCUUUCCUCCAAGCUGUGAGUUAAAAAUAAACCUUUUGGGCUGGGGUAAUUUAUUUAUAAUUUAUUCUGUCUGUGGUACUUUGUUAUUAGUAACAGAAAAUGGACUGAUCCCGCCCUCAGAGCACAGCAUCCUCUGCUUAUCCUUUAAGGGGUCUUGCAUUAGCUCUUGGGCAUCCUACAGAGGGGGAAUUCAUCACCAUUCCUGCUACAGGGACCUUUCCCUGGGAUAACAGAUGCCUGCCUGGAUAGCUUUAUGAUUAUGGAUGCAAAGUGGGAAAGCCAGAGGCUGCAGAGCUAUAUUGCUUGGACACUUCCCCAUGCUAAAUUUACAAAUGCAAGGCCACUAAAUAAGGGGGAAAGCCUGUGUCUGUCAAGUGCCACCAUUGCUAUAAGACUGAGACAAUAGUAGUCAGAUACGACCAAGGUGUUAACACCUGGGAUACGUAGAACUAUGCCCCUUUCCCCAACUCUGUCCUGCACUGGGAUUCUGUUCUUCACCUAUUAUUACCAGAUAACUAGGGUUGACCCAAGGACUGUCACAAUUUUUAUUACACUUUAUGCCCUGGGUUAACAAUUAUAUUUGAGUCUUAUGUAGGGACAACCUCAGACUAUAGGAAAGGAUAGCUUUAUACGUAAGGGUGCUUCUUAGGGACAAAAAUCAGAAAUCACAAAAAUGUUCUAUCAUCAAAGCUCUCUGAGGAGAGGCACACAUCACAGUAAAAAUAUGUUUAGUGAGGCUUUGGAGGGCUGGAGGGAAAAGCUUACCACAGACAAAAACGAUUAAGUAUAAAAGCUAGAAGUAAAUGCCCUUUUAAAGAUUAAAUGGCAGUAAAUGAUUUAAAUAGAGUCACCAGGACCUCAUGCAGUGGAGAUUUCUGGGAUGUCGCAGCAGAGUACAAGCUAUCUCUCCAUGGUGACUUUCCACAGGUAAGGUUGAACAUUUCCUCAUGAGUUCCUGUUGUUGCUGCUGGCACCCACAAGCCACACGUUUGGGUGUCAGGGAGUGUGUUGCAUUGCUGCACUCUUGGGUUCUUGGGGCCUGGCUCCUCCUCACAGAAGAUGAAUACUUAUGGAAUGAAUGAAUAAAUGAGUCAAAUGGAG
Mus musculus (house mouse) is the source of this 3806-nucleotide long non-coding RNA. RefSeq annotates it as predicted gene, 41881. The record is from RefSeq and is a predicted model, not a curated record. The transcript has 2 exons. Lineage: Eukaryota; Metazoa; Chordata; Mammalia; Rodentia; Muridae.